This is a long non-coding RNA of Bombus terrestris (buff-tailed bumblebee), 1856 nucleotides long. RefSeq lists it as uncharacterized. The record is from RefSeq and is a predicted model, not a curated record. The transcript has 4 exons. NCBI's taxonomy places the organism in Eukaryota, Metazoa, Arthropoda, Insecta, Hymenoptera, Apidae.
UUUGAACAGGUUCUGCGCAUCGCGUUUUUUUCGUAUUGCGCAGCUUUGUUUAACGGUCAGAAAAAGUAUACCAUGUUGCAUUAGAAGGAAGUCACGUAAUGCAUAAAGUGUUUGAAGCUGUAAUGGCGGACAUUCAAUUUGGCGGGUAAUUUUUACAAAUCAAUCGUAUCAUAAAAUAUUCAUACAUAUACACAUUUGACAAUAAUAAAAAAUACUUUGAAAAAUAUUUUAAAUAAACUAACGAUACAUUCUCUUUCGUAUUCUUGGUAUGAUAUUUCUAUGCAUAUUUUCGUUCUCUUGAUAUGAUAUAUGGUUCUACCUAUUGUAAUCAUAAUUAAUUCGUAGUUUUAACAAAGCAGUAUUUUCGUAAACAAACACACGACUCCCUAUCCCUUACCUCUUAUAAAGUUUUUCUUUCAGAAUAUUUUUGUGACCGUGCGCAAUGCGGUUGGUAAAGUCAGUGUUUGCUGCGUUAAAUCACAUUUAAUAUUGACUUAGUACAUAACAAUCUUCAUUAGAUUUAGUUAUAAUAAUCAGACGCGAAAUUAGAGUCAGUGUGUUCGCCGAUUGUCAUUUGACUUAAACGGACGCGGAAUAGUCUAUUAUUUUUUUUUUUUUUUGUUGUUGUUGUUAAACAUUCGUUUUCGGUAGUAGAAUCGCAGGUCUCGCAAGAGGAUAAAGCCUUUCCUGGAGCUCAAGAAUGUUUUUCAUAACUUCCAUCUUUUUCCCUCUUCUUUGGGAAGGAUGUAGCGGUGUUUUAAAUUUAUACAUGUAUGCCACUUCUUCCCCUUCUUCCUGUUUCCUGGAAAAUACCUAGUGGUAUUUCAAAAGCCAAAAAUUUCACCUCUACGAGAGCUGACCUUGGGGCCAUGCCUGAGCCGAAGAGUAUCGAUCAAACGAAAGAAAACGAUAUCACUGUGAGUUUCUAUAUCACGAUCUGUCGCCACGGUAACCGCAAACCUACGUACUCGAAUAUUCCCUAAUCACCUUUGUGUCGUCGUUAUUACUUAUAAAUCGGAUAAAUAUGAGUCAUAAACAGCUCGGGUAACGAGAAAAACAAGCAGUAUUUUAUAAUCCGUGAAAGAAUUAUUCGUUUAACUAGUCAAUCGAUGUUUAACUUUAAGAAACAGAAGUAUCGAGGUUUUUUUAUAAUAAUGAAAAUAGAACAUCGUGUCAUAUGUAACAAUGGACUUACAUCAUUCUGAUUUUCAAUCUGUCAUAUAAAUGAAUCACGCGUCGACUAUACUUAAAGCGUUCUGUGUUCUUGUAUUCCAAUACGAUGCUAGGAAAAACAGUAAAAUAAAAUAAAAUAGUGACGACAAGGAAAAAUUGGUCCAAAGUGGUGUUCGAAGGUCGCAGAGGCAGUAUCAUCAGUGUCGGAAGGAAUAGUGGAAGAAGCAGAGAUAGGAAGACAACACGAGGCAUCCAUAAGCGACCACUGGGUCACAGCAAUCGGUGCAACGUCCUGACCUAUCUCCGUCUUCUUUUUUCCACACCAUACACACUCUUUUAUCUAAUAUGUGUACACUUUUUUCCUCACGAUCUUUGGCAUCCCUUCCAAUUCAUCAUCUCUACUCAUUUCCCUCGAGGCAAUCUAACUUCUCUUUCUCUUCUUAAAGUCUGUCAUAGCUCUUCGUAUCUUACCUCAUUGCCAGUUAAACUAUUGUGUACAUACUCACAGGCUCAAGAAAAUAUUGAAACACUUGUUGAUACAUCUUUCAUGAAUGUAUUAUGUGUGUAAUACGAAACGUUUUGAAAUUUCAUUAACACUGUUAUGAAAGGUGACUAUCAUUAUCACACUGGUGAAGCUUGAAACAAAUCUGAAAAUAAUAAUAGAAAAUUAGCACAGAAAACGU